Bacillus sp. FJAT-26390 is the source of this 182-nucleotide regulatory RNA element. It matches the Rfam family "PyrR binding site". From Rfam's summary of the family: This family represents the PyrR binding site and terminator structure. This RNA structure is found upstream of a variety of genes involved in pyrimidine biosynthesis and transport. The alignment also includes a portion of the antiterminator structure. The record is from Rfam. Lineage: Bacteria; Bacillati; Bacillota; Bacilli; Caryophanales; Bacillaceae.
AGUACCUUUAACUCAGUCCCGAGAGGCUGGCAAGGUAGCGUGAAUAACAAGUUAUAGAAGAGAAGAAAGAAUAGGACUUCCUAAUGCGCGGCUUUCUGUGACGAGAGCAGCGGUGGAGCGUACCCUAUCUCUUCAUGGCUUAUCACAAGCUCCUUGCGAUUUUUGCAAGGAGCUUUUUUUGU